UUCCUUCAAAAAGAAAAAAAAACUGAGCCCAGUGUAAUUUGGAAGUGAGAUUUUCUUCGCACACAUACAAACAUAAUCAAUGAAGUAAUAGUAUAUAUCUUCGGUCAGAAACAAAUACACUCUAAAAAGCUUAGAAAUACACAGUACCCCUACUUAGGUCCUACACGCUAUGCCCUAAUCUGCAUAAGCAGGAUAAGAACAAAAAGAGAGCGGGGCCAGGCCAUGCCAUUUGCAGAAGCUCUCACACACAUCCGAACAGAGCUGAUGCUCCAAGCAUCCAAACGCUCAGGUCCCCAGGGAUCUUCCAUUUGGCUCACUCCAGCAGCUGCCAGGUCGCCAUCGUGGCGCGAGCGACUAGCUCCAAAUCAGGGCGCUGAACAUCCUGCGAUACCUCCUGCCACUGCCAGGCAAGACAAGGCCUGCUAAGCUCCUGCCAGCCAAGGAGGCGAACUUAACAUUAGGAAAAUGAUCAGCAACAAAAAAUUAUGCUUACAUCUGAGCUGACGCAGCCAAGCCGAUGCGUACGACCGAGCUGAUGCACCAAGUGUCCUAGUCAUCCUCUGAUGUGGACACCUGCAAAAAAAAAAAAACAGCUCCUCGCAUUAAAAUUACCGGCAGAGGUUGCCCCUAGGCCAGCCGCUGUCAAGGAAGAGGGGUUUUAUUCGGCCGUCGCUUUCCCGGCGAAGAAGAUCUGGUUUCACAAUGUUGAAUCAGUUUGGGUUUGCAGGACAAAGACAGCCAUUAAUUAAGGGUGCACUCCAAACAUCAUUCAGGCACUUUCUACUGGUGGCACUGGCACUGAAACGGAUCGGUAAAUAAAUUAUUUCACCACCAUGGCGAGUGCAAUGAAAGCUCUGGGGAUUUUGUUACUGCGUAAUUCUCAAAUGUUUACUCAGUCUAUGUAUUAUUUAGACAGCUGCAUGUACUUGAGAGUAAAAAACAGAGAAAAACUUGAGAAGCAAUAGAACAAGAGGAUAGUGAACAAAGAAAAAGAUAGACAGGUUCCUUCAAACAGCUUUUGUGUUUGAAGUUGAAAUCUAAUGUUAAAAAUCCAGCAAAAACAAAAAAUCAUGGUGAGUUACUGACUCAAAUGGGAAAAGGUCAUCUGUGAAGGAGUGCACUUCGAAGGGUGAGCGAAUAGGAUAUGUAGCUCUUGUAGACAGUUCUGUUAUCCUACUCGUCUCUAGGUUGGCAUCGCACCUUGUUGACACAUUUAUCUGUGUCAUUUUCCUUUUUUUACCCAACUGUCAACCACAUCUAACUUUAUGGUUGCUCUUGUGAAUGGACUUACCUGCGAACUAACAAGACAAUGACACUAUAAAAGCAGAAGUUCACUCAGCAGCUAGAGCAAUAGACACACGGCGCUAGUUAAUUACCUGGUAGGCAUAGCAUGGGAGAAACAAAUAAUGCAAGAGCUGAUGGUGGAGUCAAGGGUGGAGAAGAGGAAGAGAAAGGCAGGAAGAAGAUGACCAAGGGUGGUAAGGCGUCGUUCCAUGACCUGUUCAAGAACGCGGACGCCACUGAUGUGGUGCUGAUGCUGGUUGGCACAGUCGCCGCGCUUGCGAGCGGCAUGUCACAGGUGGUCAUGUCGAUCAUCUUCGGGCGGAUGGUAGAUGCCUUUGGAGGUGCCACCCGGGGCACCAUCCUUCCCCGAGUUGACAAGGUACCCUUUUGCUUCUGUAUGAAUCUGCAAGCAUGCAACGCCACUGAAACUUGUUACAUGUUUGCUGAUAAGAACUUGCUUACAGGACACAGAUAUGAAAUUACACAUUAACCUGAUAAGAGAUUCUUGAUUUUUCAUGCCCUCAAUUUACAAAUACACACAUCAUGUUCUUUUAUUUGAAUAUAUCAGAAGAAUAUGGAUCUUGUAAUAUGGCUGUCAUAUUUCUUUCAGGUGGUUCUAGAGUUUGUCUACUUAGCAAUUGGAACAUGGCCUGCUUGUUUUCUCCGUAAGUAUGACCUACACAUAUGAUCUUUACGGUAUCUUCGCGUGGCCUUUGCCAUUAUUUAUGUAUUUCCCAGAAACAAGUAGAUCCUAUUGAAUGCUACUAUUCAUCAAGCCACCAACCACCCAAGCUAUGAUACUCAAUUACCAUAAGAGUCAGAGGUUUCUCAAUAACAAAAUUUGUUGCAGAGACACUUCAGUACCAUGACAUAUUAUUUAUGUACUCCAAAUAUGUAUGAUGUUGUACGUUGUCAUACUUGAUCGUGUAAAUAUAGCAUACGAGUAUGUCUUUGAUAGUUCAACUCUGUAUAAUUUGAGUAUGUUAAUACCUAUGAAUAUAAUAUGCUCAAAAUCAAGUGUUUUGAGAAUCAUAAUACCUAGGAAUACCACAGGCGCAUACUCAAUAUCAGAUCGCCC
Molecule: long non-coding RNA, 2362 nt
Filed under: Triticum aestivum (bread wheat)
Lineage: Eukaryota; Viridiplantae; Streptophyta; Magnoliopsida; Poales; Poaceae
Description: long non-coding RNA (TAES_LNC009565)
Source: RNAcentral